Molecule: ribosomal RNA, 2921 nt
Filed under: Staphylococcus aureus OCMM6015
Lineage: Bacteria; Bacillati; Bacillota; Bacilli; Caryophanales; Staphylococcaceae
Description: bacterial LSU rRNA
Rfam family: Bacterial large subunit ribosomal RNA
Source: RNAcentral
UUAAGUUAUUAAGGGCGCACGGUGGAUGCCUUGGCACUAGAAGCCGAUGAAGGACGUUACUAACGACGAUAUGCUUUGGGGAGCUGUAAGUAAGCUUUGAUCCAGAGAUUUCCGAAUGGGGAAACCCAGCAUGAGUUAUGUCAUGUUAUCGAUAUGUGAAUACAUAGCAUAUCAGAAGGCACACCCGGAGAACUGAAACAUCUUAGUACCCGGAGGAAGAGAAAGAAAAUUCGAUUCCCUUAGUAGCGGCGAGCGAAACGGGAAGAGCCCAAACCAACAAGCUUGCUUGUUGGGGUUGUAGGACACUCUAUACGGAGUUACAAAGGACGACAUUAGACGAAUCAUCUGGAAAGAUGAAUCAAAGAAGGUAAUAAUCCUGUAGUCGAAAAUGUUGUCUCUCUUGAGUGGAUCCUGAGUACGACGGAGCACGUGAAAUUCCGUCGGAAUCUGGGAGGACCAUCUCCUAAGGCUAAAUACUCUCUAGUGACCGAUAGUGAACCAGUACCGUGAGGGAAAGGUGAAAAGCACCCCGGAAGGGGAGUGAAAUAGAACCUGAAACCGUGUGCUUACAAGUAGUCAGAGCCCGUUAAUGGGUGAUGGCGUGCCUUUUGUAGAAUGAACCGGCGAGUUACGAUUUGAUGCAAGGUUAAGCAGUAAAUGUGGAGCCGUAGCGAAAGCGAGUCUGAAUAGGGCGUUUAGUAUUUGGUCGUAGACCCGAAACCAGGUGAUCUACCCUUGGUCAGGUUGAAGUUCAGGUAACACUGAAUGGAGGACCGAACCGACUUACGUUGAAAAGUGAGCGGAUGAACUGAGGGUAGCGGAGAAAUUCCAAUCGAACCUGGAGAUAGCUGGUUCUCUCCGAAAUAGCUUUAGGGCUAGCCUCAAGUGAUGAUUAUUGGAGGUAGAGCACUGUUUGGACGAGGGGCCCCUCUCGGGUUACCGAAUUCAGACAAACUCCGAAUGCCAAUUAAUUUAACUUGGGAGUCAGAACAUGGGUGAUAAGGUCCGUGUUCGAAAGGGAAACAGCCCAGACCACCAGCUAAGGUCCCAAAAUAUAUGUUAAGUGGAAAAGGAUGUGGCGUUGCCCAGACAACUAGGAUGUUGGCUUAGAAGCAGCCAUCAUUUAAAGAGUGCGUAAUAGCUCACUAGUCGAGUGACACUGCGCCGAAAAUGUACCGGGGCUAAACAUAUUACCGAAGCUGUGGAUUGUCCUUUGGACAAUGGUAGGAGAGCGUUCUAAGGGCGUUGAAGCAUGAUCGUAAGGACAUGUGGAGCGCUUAGAAGUGAGAAUGCCGGUGUGAGUAGCGAAAGACGGGUGAGAAUCCCGUCCACCGAUUGACUAAGGUUUCCAGAGGAAGGCUCGUCCGCUCUGGGUUAGUCGGGUCCUAAGCUGAGGCCGACAGGCGUAGGCGAUGGAUAACAGGUUGAUAUUCCUGUACCACCUAUAAUCGUUUUAAUCGAUGGGGGGACGCAGUAGGAUAGGCGAAGCGUGCGAUUGGAUUGCACGUCUAAGCAGUAAGGCUGAGUAUUAGGCAAAUCCGGUACUCGUUAAGGCUGAGCUGUGAUGGGGAGAAGACAUUGUGUCUUCGAGUCGUUGAUUUCACACUGCCGAGAAAAGCCUCUAGAUAGAAAAUAGGUGCCCGUACCGCAAACCGACACAGGUAGUCAAGAUGAGAAUUCUAAGGUGAGCGAGCGAACUCUCGUUAAGGAACUCGGCAAAAUGACCCCGUAACUUCGGGAGAAGGGGUGCUCUUUAGGGUUAACGCCCAGAAGAGCCGCAGUGAAUAGGCCCAAGCGACUGUUUAUCAAAAACACAGGUCUCUGCUAAACCGUAAGGUGAUGUAUAGGGGCUGACGCCUGCCCGGUGCUGGAAGGUUAAGAGGAGUGGUUAGCUUCUGCGAAGCUACGAAUCGAAGCCCCAGUAAACGGCGGCCGUAACUAUAACGGUCCUAAGGUAGCGAAAUUCCUUGUCGGGUAAGUUCCGACCCGCACGAAAGGCGUAACGAUUUGGGCACUGUCUCAACGAGAGACUCGGUGAAAUCAUAGUACCUGUGAAGAUGCAGGUUACCCGCGACAGGACGGAAAGACCCCGUGGAGCUUUACUGUAGCCUGAUAUUGAAAUUCGGCACAGCUUGUACAGGAUAGGUAGGAGCCUUUGAAACGUGAGCGCUAGCUUACGUGGAGGCGCUGGUGGGAUACUACCCUAGCUGUGUUGGCUUUCUAACCCGCACCACUUAUCGUGGUGGGAGACAGUGUCAGGCGGGCAGUUUGACUGGGGCGGUCGCCUCCUAAAAGGUAACGGAGGCGCUCAAAGGUUCCCUCAGAAUGGUUGGAAAUCAUUCAUAGAGUGUAAAGGCAUAAGGGAGCUUGACUGCGAGACCUACAAGUCGAGCAGGGUCGAAAGACGGACUUAGUGAUCCGGUGGUUCCGCAUGGAAGGGCCAUCGCUCAACGGAUAAAAGCUACCCCGGGGAUAACAGGCUUAUCUCCCCCAAGAGUUCACAUCGACGGGGAGGUUUGGCACCUCGAUGUCGGCUCAUCGCAUCCUGGGGCUGUAGUCGGUCCCAAGGGUUGGGCUGUUCGCCCAUUAAAGCGGUACGCGAGCUGGGUUCAGAACGUCGUGAGACAGCUCGGUCCCUAUCCGUCGUGGGCGUAGGAAAUUUGAGAGGAGCUGUCCUUAGUACGAGAGGACCGGGAUGGACAUACCUCUGGUGUACCAGUUGUCGUGCCAACGGCAUAGCUGGGUAGCUAUGUGUGGACGGGAUAAGUGCUGAAAGCAUCUAAGCAUGAAGCCCCCCUCAAGAUGAGAUUUCCCAACUUCGGUUAUAAGAUCCCUCAAAGAUGAUGAGGUUAAUAGGUUCGAGGUGGAAGCAUGGUGACAUGUGGAGCUGACGAAUACUAAUCGAUCGAAGACUUAAUCAA